UACGAAGGGGGCUAGCGUUGUUCGGAUUUACUGGGCGUAAAGCGCACGUAGGCGGAUCGUUAAGUCAGGGGUGAAAUCCUGGAGCUCAACUCCAAGAACUCGUCCUUGAUACUGGCGAUCUUGAGUCCGGAAGAGGUGAGUGGAACUCCUAGUGUAGAGGUGGAAUUCGUAGAUAUUAGGAAGAACACCAGUGGCGAAGGCGGCUCACUGGUCCGGUACUGACGCUGAGGUGCGAAAGCGUGGGGAGCAAACAGG
This 255-nucleotide ribosomal RNA is filed under the name uncultured bacterium. Its description in RNAcentral is "partial 16S ribosomal RNA". It matches the Rfam family "Bacterial small subunit ribosomal RNA", at positions 524 to 776 of the family's 1533-position model. The record is from RNAcentral.